This 462-nucleotide long non-coding RNA is filed under the name Equus caballus (horse). RNAcentral's name for it is "lncRNA (ENSECAG00000053552.1)". The record is from RNAcentral. Lineage: Eukaryota; Metazoa; Chordata; Mammalia; Perissodactyla; Equidae.
UCCUGGUAGAGUUAUGUUUGGGAAUGCAUUGAAUUUAUAUAUCAAUUUAUGGAGCAUUCACAUCUUUACACCUCCUUAUACAUGACCUUACUUGUUACUAUUAUCUGAACGUGUUUCUGGAAUACUGAUGUGAGAAGAAGAAGGCAGAGGGAGCUGUCACACACAGAAGAGAAGCUGCUAUGAAGCAGAAGCAGACAGAGAUUUGAAGACGCUGCCCUUGAGAUUGGAGAGAUGCAGCUAAGGAAUGCUGGCAGCCAACAGAAGUUGGAAGAGCCAAGAAAUAGCUUACCUACUAGGGCCACCAGAGGGAGUGUGACCUAGUCAACACCUUGAUUUCAACCCUUUGAUAAUUAUUUCAAACCGCUGGCCUCCAGAACAGUGAUAAAACAAAUUUCUGUUGUUUUUGCCACCAAAUUGGUGGUAAUUUGUUACAGCAGCCAUAGGAAACUAACAAAAUUGGAC